GUUUGAUCAUGGCUCAGAACGAACGCUGGCGGCAUGCCUAACACAUGCAAGUCGAACGAAGGCUUCGGCCUUAGUGGCGCACGGGUGCGUAACGCGUGGGAAUCUGCCCUUGGGUUCGGAAUAACUCAGAGAAAUUUGAGCUAAUACCGGAUGAUGACGUAAGUCCAAAGAUUUAUCGCCCAAGGAUGAGCCCGCGUAAGAUUAGCUAGUUGGUGGGGUAAAGGCCUACCAAGGCGACGAUCUUUAGCUGGUCUGAGAGGAUGAUCAGCCACACUGGGACUGAGACACGGCCCAGACUCCUACGGGAGGCAGCAGUGGGGAAUAUUGGACAAUGGGCGAAAGCCUGAUCCAGCAAUGCCGCGUGAAUGAUGAAGGCCUUAGGGUUGUAAAGCUCUUUUACCAGGGAUGAUAAUGACAGUACCUGGAGAAUAAGCUCCGGCUAACUCCGUG
RNAcentral lists this ribosomal RNA (450 nucleotides) under uncultured bacterium. RNAcentral's name for it is "bacterial SSU rRNA". It matches the Rfam family "Bacterial small subunit ribosomal RNA", at positions 11 to 507 of the family's 1533-position model. The record is from RNAcentral.